This 523-nucleotide ribosomal RNA is filed under the name uncultured haloarchaeon. RNAcentral's name for it is "bacterial SSU rRNA". It matches the Rfam family "Archaeal small subunit ribosomal RNA", at positions 1 to 526 of the family's 1478-position model. Lineage: Archaea; Methanobacteriati; Methanobacteriota; Halobacteria; Halobacteriales; Halobacteriaceae. The record is from RNAcentral.
AUUCCGGUUGAUCCUGCCGGAGGCCAUUGCUAUCGGAGUCCGAUUUAGCCAUGCUAGUCGUACGGGUUAGACCCGUGGCGAAUAGCUCAGUAACACGUGGUCAAACUACCCUGUGGACGAGGACAACCUCGGGAAACUGAGGCCAAUCCUCGAUACGGCUUCUCACCUGGAGUGGGAGAAGCCGGAAAUGCCCCGGCGCCACAGGAUGUGACUGCGGCCGAUUAGGUAGACGGUGGGGUAACGGCCCACCGUGCCAGUAAUCGGUACGGGUGAUGAGAGUCAGCGCCCGGAGACGGUAUCUGAGACAAGAUACCGGGCCCUACGGGGCGCAGCAGGCGCGCAACCUUUACACUGCACGCGAGUGCGAUAGGGGGACUCCGAGUGCGAGGGCAUAUAGUCCUCGCUUUUCUGGACCGUAAGGAGGUCCAAGAAUAAGGGCUGGGCAAGACCGGUGCCAGCCGCCGCGGUAAUACCGGCAGCCCGAGUGAUGGCCGCGAUUAUUGGGCCUAAAGCGUCCGUAGCU